Long non-coding RNA from Carya illinoinensis, 529 nucleotides. RefSeq lists it as uncharacterized. The record is from RefSeq and is a predicted model, not a curated record. Lineage: Eukaryota; Viridiplantae; Streptophyta; Magnoliopsida; Fagales; Juglandaceae. The transcript is spliced from 2 exons.
ACCACCCGCCAAACCGAAUCCCCCUCACCCCAUCGUCCCCCCCCACCCCCCAACCCCAACGUCCCACCACCCCACGAUCAUUACCCCCCAGGGUCCGACCCCCUUGCCAUCAUCCCCCCUCCCCAGCGUUCUCUUCUGUACGGAUUCAUCACACAGGCUGCGGUGUUGCUUCUCACUACUUGUCUUCCAAAUGGCACCGUCCGAGACUGUCGAUAUUGGUCUUUUCCGACUGAAGGGUUAAUGGUGCUGAAAAUGAUUGAAUACAUGUGGACAUUGAGACUAUAUUGUAUCCUGCAAAGCAAAAACUAGAGAGUAUGCAAUACAUAUAUUGUCUCAACUCCUCACACACCUCUCCGUUCCUGCUGAUUCCUCUUCAGUCUCUCUUUAAUUAAAGAAUAUGCAAUACAUAUUAUAUUGUCGCUCUUUCUUUUUAUGAGCAAUAAUUGUAGGUACUAGAUUCUAGUACUUAAGUUAAAACCACUAGUGCCUUGUGAUUUUAUUUGGUUCAGUGGAGUCGCUAAUUCAUCUA